UUUAUUAUAACAAAAAUACAACAAACAUUAGAACAAUAUCAAAAUAGUAAUUAUAUUCUAUAAAUCAAUUACAUAACAAUUAUUUUUUAUAUUUUUGUCUUGAAAUAUUCCACACGCAACCGAAGUUAUAACUACGAAAUUUAUUACCACAAACAACCGAGCCGGUACCACGAAUACCAAAAUCUGAGCCGGUACCAGAGGGAAUGUCAAAGAAGCCAAACUUAACCAGUAGGAAGCAAAGCAAAGGCUGGUGAUACAGAAUAAGAAAAGCCUGGGAUCCCUCAAACAAUGGCGCAGCCAAGUAAUUCCAUCCCCCUUAUGGUAGCGGUUUGUUUCCGUAAUUGUCUUGUAGAGGUAGGAAUCUUGAAUAUUGUCAAAAUCAGAAUCGGAAAUAUUAAGCCGCAGAGAAUUGAAAGAAGACGCUACCUGCAUGCCGUCGUUGGAAAAUCUAGAGAUAAUUCCAUCUGAACAUAGGCACUCUACAUCAGUCGGAUAUCUAAUGAGACUGCUCAUGAAAGAGGCGUAAGCGGUCAAAUCCUUGGGGAAUCCAUUAGAACAACGCUCCAAGGCCACGCAGUUAACAAGGAUGGCAAUAAAGAGAUCACUGACGGUUACAGGUGGGAUUUCAAGCACUCCGUCCUUGAAAUGGAUAUCGGUGAACCUAUCGGUUCUUCUUGGCUUGAACUCUACACCUGACUUUCGGAGUUCCAAUGCAUUUUUUGUGAGAUGAAAAAGUUCGGUUGUCUUUGAAGUUGAUGGGUUCGACUGCGUAGAGAGUGUUGAGAUUGCAGUCAAACAAGGAUAUAGGCUACUGAUAUUAGCCUCUACUUUGUUGAUGAAACAGAGUUUGCAUAAAAAACCAUCAGAACUUUUUCAUUUCAUUGUUUUCACUAUAUAUAUUUACAGAACAGUUAACAUGCACAUAGAAACAUCAUUAACACUUGUCAAACUAAACAAACAAGUGUAGAGCAUCAGUUACAAGGUACAUGCAUAACACCACGUAUGGUGUUCUUUGUACAGCACAACAAAAACAAUUUCCUGCACAGCAUUUAAAUAACAAAAAACCAUGUCUCUGUCUUUACUUAGACACUUGCAAGCAUUACAUUCAACAUUCCCCCUUAAUGCUUGCUUGAUGCACCAUUAAUUUGUUUCUCUGAAACUCAAACAUUGGCUUCCUGAGUGCUUUAGUCAUAAUAUCAGCAAGUUGAUCUUCAGAAGGACAGUAUUGGAUGCAAAUUUCACCCUUCUUUUCAGCAUCCCUUGGAGCAUGAUAUUUCACACUGAUAUGUUUAGUUUUUCCAUGGAAGACAGGGUUUUUGGCCAUAGCUAUAGCAGAUUUAUUAUCAAGCCACAAAUCAGUAGCUUCAAGCUGAGGCAUAGUGAGAUCAUGAAGAACCUUCCUCACCCAAAUUGCAUGAUUUGCUGCUGAAGCUGCAGCCACAUACUCAGCUUCCGCAGAAGAUUGAGCAACCAUGUCUUGCUUGUGGGAGCUCCAAGAAAAUAAGCCAUUUCCAAGAGUGAAUACAUACCCGGAAGUGCUCUUUGCAUCAUCUAGAGAUCCAGCCCAGUCACUAUCAGAAAAUCCUGAUAGUUUAACAGCCUUUGUCUGAGUGAACUUCAAACCAUAAGCUGCUGUACCUUUUAAAUACCUGAGUAUUCUUUUUGCAGCAACAAAAUGACAGCUUCUUGGUUUUUGCAUAAAACGAGAUAAAUAGCUGACAGCAAACAUAACAUCAGGCCUUGUUGCACAUAGGUACAGAAGACAACCGAUAAGACUUCUAUAUUGAGAAGGAUUUUCCAGUUCAAAACCAGAUUGGGAAGAUAACUUCUCAUUAACUACCAGAGGUGAAGCAGUGGCUUUGCAUUCAUUCAUCUGAAACUUUUUAAGCAUUUCAAGCACAUAUUUGUGUUGAGAAACAUGUAUUCCACUAUGAAUCCUUUUGAUUUCCAGCCCCAAAAAAUAAGUCAUAUCUCCCAAAUCGGACAUAUAAAAUUCCUUCUCCAUAUUCUGUUUGAAUUUUCUAACAGCAUCUUCACUUCCCCCUGUCACUAGUAAGUCAUCCACAAACAAGGAUAGGAUUAGUGGAGCCUCAUUGCUGUGUUUUAACACAUAAAGAGUUGCUUCAUUAGGACUCUUUUGGAAUCCUUGAUCAAGCAGGUAAGUGUUAAUCCUGCUGUACCAAGCACGAGGUGCUUGUUUUAAUCCAUAAAGAGCCUUGUGAAGUCUGUACACCUUUCCUCGUCCAGAACAGAGUUCAAAUCCCGGUGGUUGCUCCACAUAAAUUUCUUCAUCAAGCUUCCCAUUUAAAAAUGCUGAUUUAACAUCCAAGUGAAAGAGUUUCCACUGGAAUGCAGCAGCCAAAGCUAUAAGCAAUCUAAUAGUGUCCAAUCGAGCCACUGGUGCAAUGGUUUCUUGGAAAUCAAUACCAAGUAUUUGAGAAUAGCCCUUCACUACUAGUCUUGCCUUGUACCUGUUUAAAGUGCCAUCAGGAUUGAGCUUUCUUUUAAAAAUCCAUUUGACCCCAAUUACUUGUCGAUCCUUAGGCCUAUCCACCAGAGACCAAGUUUUGUUUUUGACUAUCAUAUUCAGUUCUUCCUUCAUAGCUGUAACCCAAUGCUCAUAAACUGCAGCAACUUCAUAAGAGUUAGGUUCUGUGAUAGCCAUAUGACAUCUCUCAUAAAUGUUUUGAAUAGACCUUACUCCUCUAACUGGAGCUUCAUCAACUGUUUCAUCAUCAACAAGAAUUUGAGAAUCAGUAUGUUGAUAUUUUGAUACAUCAAUAAAUUCAUUCGAAUCUACAGCUUGGCUUUGCUCCCAAUUCCAGCUCCUAUUCUCAUCAAAUACAACAUUCCUGCUAACAGAAAUUCUACCAAAUUCAACCUGAAAUAUUCUAUAUGCUUUGGACUUCAAACUAUAUCCAAUCAGAACCCCAAUCUGAGCCUUUGGUUGAAGUUUGUCUCUCUGUUCCUCAGGUAUAUGUUGAUAACAAAGACUUCCAAACACUCGCAAAUGAUCUACAGAAGGCCUGGUCCCAUACCAUGCUUCAUAUGGAGUGAUAUUUUGUUUUGCUCGAGUAGGAAUAAUAUUGAGCAAGUAUACUGCUGUCGAGGCUGCUUCUGCCCAAAAUCUUUUGGGCAUAUUUUUCUCAAGCAUCAAGCACCUGCACAUCUCAAGUACUGUGCGAUUUUUUCUUUCACUUACCCCAUUUUGUUGGGGGCAAUAUGGAGCUGUUAGCUGGUGAAAGAUCCCUUCCUUCUCUAAAAAUUUAGAAAAUUCUUGAGAUGUGUACUCACCACCAUUAUCUGAUCUGAGUACCUUGAUUUUCAUACCAGACUCUAACUCAGCUCGAGCUUUAAAUUUCUGGAACCAACUGAAAGUUUCUGACUUCUGUUUCAUAAAGAAUAUCCAGCAGAACCUGGUCAGAUCAUCUAUAAAUGUAACAAAGUACCUGCUCCCAUUUAAUGACUCUUCACUUAGAGGACCUCCAACAUCUGAAUGGAUAAGAUUAAGCUUAUCCUUUGAUUUGCUAAAACUGGCAGUGGGAUAAGGCUUUCGAGUUAUUUUUCCAAGCUGACAAGUUUGGCAAAUAGGGCCACAUUCUGAUAAUUUGGGAAGCUUAUCUGCAAGACCUGAAUUACUCAACUGUAUCAAUGAAUUAUAAUUGCAGUGACCAAAUCUCUUGUGCCACAGAGAAGUCAAAUUUGAGUGAACUUCUGUUGCCUGCAAACAUGCAUCUUUCCAGUUCACUGGGAAACAAUUUUGUUUCAUAGAGAUGUUCAUCAUAUAAUCACCAUUAGGAGCAUAAAUAGUGCAAGACAUAUCUUUAAACAAUAAGACAUAGUUAUGCUUAAGCAUUUGUCCUACACUUAAUAGAUUUUUAGUGAUUUCUGGCACUAAGAGAACUGCAAACUCAUACCUGGCACCAGAAGAAGUUUGAAUUGGCACUAACCCUUUUCCUGUUGCUUGCAAAUAAACACCAUUCCCAAUCUCAACUUUCGAACGGUAUUAAUCAUCUAUUUCAACAAAUAGCUUCACAUUUGGAGUCAUGUGAUUUGAAGCUCCACUGUCCAAAAGCCAAAGGCUUGCAUCAACAGUUUUUAAAUUUCCAGUUUGAGCCAUAAACAAAUGCUCUUCAGCUGUUUCAGCUUUCUCAACUGGUUCAUCAGCCUUGACUUGAGUCUCGACUUUGUUUUUGCAAACUCUCUGUACAUGCCCCAAUUGGUUACAAUUUCUGCACCUCACAUUUGGUCUAAACCAACAACUAGCCUCAGCAUGACCCUUUCUCUUGCAGUGAGAACAUAUAUGAGCCUUGCCUUUUUUCUGUUGAUUUCUGUAUACAGAUUGAACCCCUUUAUCUUUCUCUUUCUGUUCAACAGGACCUUUUCUUGUGCUUGUCUCUCCCACUGUUUUUCCUUUCAUUUUAGCAAAUAGGACAUUUGCAGUUACACUCUCACUUCUCAUAACUCUCCUGUGUUCAGCAGCUUGGAGAGCAUAUGCAACAUCUGAUAGUGACAUUUUGGAGAGUUCCCUUUCCAGAGAAGCAACUGUUGCUUCAAAUCUUUCUGGUAGAGAUACAAGAGCCUUUUGAACAACUAUUUUUUCUGAAAUAUCCUCUCCCGAGAGUCUGAGUUGAUUAACAACUCUCAUAAGUCUGCUGAUGAAGUCUUUUGCAUUUUCAGAAUCCUUCAUUCUCAUUGUAUCAAACUCCCUAGUCAAGUUCAUAAUUUGCAUGUCUUUGGUUCUUUCAGAACCUUCAAACUGAACUUUCAGUCUUUCCCAAGCAUCUUUGGCAGUUUUACACCCCAUAAUUCUUACAAACAUAGCAUCUGUAAGAGCUCCCUGGAUGUAAGACAAGGCUCGGAAUCGUUUAGCCACUUCCUCGUGGUGCUGCUUUACUUGAGCAGGGGUUGCAUUAUCCUUCAAAGCUGGAACUUCAGCUCCUGAUUCAACAGCAUCCCAGAGGUCCAGACCCCUAAGAUAUGACUCCAUUUUCUCAAACCAAAUUGGAUAAUUUUCUCCAUUGAACGCUGGAGGUGAUUGAAAGCUGAAUGCAGUAUUUGAUGGAGAGGGAGAGGCCAUAGUUUUUCAAGUGAGUGUAUGGUUUAUUUCAGAGAAAGUGUUACUUGGAUUCAACUGUCUAUACGGUCCCUUAAGAGCUUAAUUCAGCUCUGAUACCAUGUUGAGAUUGCAGUCAAACAAGGAUAUAGGCUACUGAUAUUAGCCUCUACUUUGUUGAUGAAACAGAGUUUGCAUAAAAAACCAUCAGAACUUUUUCAUUUCAUUGUUUUCACUAUAUAUAUUUACAGAACAGUUAACAUGCACAUAGAAACAUCAUUAACACUUGUCAAACUAAACAAACAAGUGUAGAGCAUCAGUUACAAGGUACAUGCAUAACACCACGUAUGGUGUUCUUUGUACAGCACAACAAAAACAAUUUCCUGCACAGCAUUUAAAUAACAAAAAACCAUGUCUCUGUCUUUACUUAGACACUUGCAAGCAUUACAUUCAACAGAGAGGUGAUACUCCUUUUGCCCUGAGCUGGUGGCAGGGGUUUUUAGGAGUAAACCAUCUGCUAGCCGCAUUUGUUUUCUGCUCAAUGAAUUUAAGCAGACCUUUGCUUUCAAAAAGAUAGUCUUGAGAAACAAGGAGAGUGAAUUGUUCGAUGGAUUUGAUGGCCGGAUGGUCUGGAGAAACAAGUCAAGUAAAUGUUUGGAUUCUUCCAAAUGGUUGAAUUUGCAGGCGAAACCCAAGGAUCGAGGGAAGGCUAGAUCAAAAAUUUUGAAGGCCAUAGUGAGUACAGAUACAGAAACUGUUGUUGUCCCUUCUUCACUUUUUGAUAAAGCAGGGGGUCUGCCAUGGUUCAAUGGGGAAAUGAAAAUCCCCAUCUACAAAUUCUUCACUCCUGCCAAAAUGGCGUAGGACCUCCAUUAUGAAGCAAGCAUCAACUAACAUCAUUUCAACGAAUUCGGCGCUGGACAUUGACAAAUCCUCUGAGUAACAUCUUCUUGUACGUCGUUCCAGUUUCACCAUCGGUCGGACAUAGAAGCAUAAAUCUUUGCCUUGGUUUCUUGUCCGAGACAGAAAUUUCUCAAGAAAUGAAUACUUGUAUUUGUCAAGUGGAAGGUUUUUACCCCUAUGGUAAGGCCCUAUAGGGUUGAAAAUGCCCUCCCUGAAAAAUCGGUUAACCAUUUAUUUUUUUCAUUUUUGCCUCUGUCAGGGGCGAUUUUCAGCACCUGGCAGUGCGUGUUUUUUUGGUUUUGCCCUUGUACGAAUCGUUCGCGGUUGUUUUGCUUCCCUGCUUAGCCAGCUGGCUUUUCAAUUUCCCUCUGGAAUGUUCGUCAUAUUCAUUCUAAUCCUGGCUUAAUUCUGCUUAAUUAGAGUGUUUGAUCUGUUUUUAAGCUAAAUUAAUUAAUAACACUUGUUUUUGGGUCCAGGCUUUAGUAAUGGGUACAGGACACAUCAGGCCCAAUACAAGUACUAAGUUUUAAAAGUAAUAGAAAAUAAAAUGAAAUAAAAACAAAAACUAAAAAUUAAAAAAAUAAAGAUAAAAAUUAAAAUCAAAGUAAAGUACAAUAAUCAAAAUGGUGUUUACAAGGGCAAGAAAUAAGUUUUAAAAAUAACAUGUCUACAAGGGCGAGAAAAAAAUUGUAAACAUAACGUCAAUUAAAUAUUGGUCAAUCAAUAUUUCCGAUUCUUGAAUGAUCGAUUUUUGACUUUCAUCUAAUUCUGAUUGCCAUUGGCACCAACGAAUUAUAAUUACCGGUACCAGACGCAAUGUCAAAGAAGCCAAACUUAACCAGUAGGAAGCACAGCAAAGGUUGGUGAUACAGAAUAAAACAAUCCUGGGAUCUCUCAAACAAUGGCGCAGCCAAGUAAUUCCAUCCCCCUCACGAUAGCGGUUUGUUUCCAUUAUUGUCUUGUAGAGGUAGGAAUCUUGAAUAUUGUCAAUAUCAGAAUCAGAAAUAUUAGGUUGAAGAGAAUUGAAAGAAGACGCCACCUGUACGUCGUCGUUGGAAAAUCUAGAGAUAAUUCCAUCUGAACAUAGGCACUCUACAUCAGUCGGACAUUUAAUCAAACUGCUCAUGAAAGAGGCAUAAGCGGUCAAAUCUUUGGAGCGUCCAGUAGAACAAUGCUCCAAGGCCACGCCGUUAACAAGGAUGACGAUAAAGAGAUCAUUGACGGUUACAGGUGGGAUUUCAAGCACUCCGUCCUUGAAUUGGAUAUCCGUGAACCUAUCGGCUCUUCGUGGCCUGAACUCUAUACCUGACUCUAGGAGUUCCCGUGCACUUUUUGAGAGAUGAACCUGUUCAAGUUUGGCUGUCUUUGAGGUUGAUGGUUUCGAAUGCUUAGACAGUUGAUAUUCCUUUUGCUUUGAGCUGGUGGUAGAGGUUUCUAGAAUUUGACUGUCUGCUACUUUUGUGAUGCGCAUUUGGUACCUACUUCUGAUGUAAUGGAGAAGUAAGUAACAAACUGAAAUGAUAUCCUUGAGAAACGAGGGGAGUGAAGUCGUCGAUGGUUUUGAUGGGCGGAUGGUCUGGAGAAACAAGUCAAGUAAAUGUUUGGGUUCUUCCAAAUGGUUGAAUUUGCAGGCGAAAUCCAAGGAUCGAGGGAAGGCUAGAUCAAAAAUUUUGUAGGCCAUAGUGAUUACAGAAACAGAAACUGUUAUGGUCCCUUCUUCACUCUUUGAUAAAGCAGACAACUCUUCAAGAAUAAAGAAAGGAAUUUGGUUCUCUAGCAAGAGCAGGUCUCGAACCAAAAUGGGGGUCUGCCAUGGUUCAAUGGGGAAACUUAAAUCCCCAUCUACAAAUUCUUCACUCCUUCUGCCAAAACGGCGUAGGACCUCAAUUAUGAAGCAAGCAUCAACUAACAUCAUUUCAACGAAUUCGGCGCUGGGCAUUGACAAAUCCUCUGAGUAACAUCUUCUUGUACGUCGUUCCAGUUUCAUCAUCCGUCGGACAUAGAAGCAUAAAUCUUUGCCUAGGUUUCUUGUCCGAGACAGAAAUUUCUCAAGAAGUGAAUACUUGCAUUUGUCAAGUGGAAGGUUUUUACCCCUAUGGUAAGGCCCUAUAGAAGCCAAUUGAGGCUCUUGGAAUGCUAAUCCAGGAAAAGGAGUUCUAAAGAUGCAGGG
RNAcentral lists this long non-coding RNA (8129 nucleotides) under Theobroma cacao (cacao). Its description in RNAcentral is "long non-coding RNA (TCAC_LNC004460)". The record is from RNAcentral. Lineage: Eukaryota; Viridiplantae; Streptophyta; Magnoliopsida; Malvales; Malvaceae.